GAGUUUGAUCCUGGCUCAGGAUGAACGCUGGCGGCGUGCUUAACACAUGCAAGUCGAACGGGAAAUACUUUAUUGAAACUUCGGCGGAUUUAAUUUAUUUCUAGUGGCGGACGGGUGAGUAACGCGUGGGUGACCUGCCCCAUACCGGGGGAUAACAGCUGGAAACGGCUGCUAAUACCGCAUAAGCGCACAGAGCUGCAUGGCUCGGUGUGAAAAACUCCGGUGGUAUGGGAUGGGCCCGCGUCUGAUUAGGCAGUUGGCGGGGUAACGGCCCACCAAACCGACGAUCAGUAGCCGGCCUGAGAGGGCGACCGGCCACAUUGGGACUGAGACACGGCCCAAACUCCUACGGGAGGCAGCAGUGGGGAAUAUUGCACAAUGGGGGAAACCCUGAUGCAGCGACGCCGCGUGGAGGAAGAAGGUUUUCGGAUUGUAAACUCCUGUCGUUAGGGACGAUAAUGACGGUACCUAACAAGAAAGCACCGGCUAACUACGUGCCAGCCGCCGCGGUAAUAC
RNAcentral lists this ribosomal RNA (516 nucleotides) under uncultured bacterium. Its description in RNAcentral is "bacterial SSU rRNA". It matches the Rfam family "Bacterial small subunit ribosomal RNA", at positions 9 to 526 of the family's 1533-position model. The record is from RNAcentral.